UUUUUUUUUUUUUUUUUGGUAUUGGUUCUUAAAAAACAGAGAACAUUUCUGUGAGUAUAAAUAAUAUCCUAUUUGUGUCUACUUAGAGAAUAAAUAUCAUUUUAUCUCAGGAAAUAUGUAAUAGAAAAGUGUAGGAGUUUGGAUUUUUCUGUUUCAAAAAUUAUUUUUUAGUAGGUGUUAUAGGGGAAAAGCUAAAUGAAAUAUUUUUUCAUCAAAAAAGGAACUACUGUCAAGAAGCUCUUCAACCCAUUACUGUGGGUUACUAUGUGGAUACAGGGUUACAUAAUAGGCUGCUGCAGAUAAGAAAUGUCAGAUCAGCACAAAGUGUUUAAACUGUAAUAUGACUAUUCAAAACACUACUGUUUCCUAUAAUUGGCACAGUGAAUUAUAGCCUGCUACAUGCAAAGGUAGUCAAGUGCCUUUAUUUACCAGCAGCUAUUGGAAUCCUACAUCUUCAUUGUGCAGGGGUCUCUGAAAGGCCAUUCUCAAACAAUAAAAGUUCAGGCACUUGUACAUAACUUAGAAAUGUCUCAUUAUAUUUUUCCCUUUUGAAACGGGUUAAUAACAAUCAGAAAAAUGUCAUUGAUUUUAUUUGCACAUUUGAACCUACAGCAAAUAUCAAAUCUUCACCUUAUGCCUCUACUUUCACAAAGAAAACAAGGACUCCAUCUAACUCCCUAGAGCCUCUAAGGAGAUAUUUCAACAAGAGUAUCAGAAUCUCCUUCAACUUUGAGAUUUGCUCUUUGAAGCAUGGAAAGUGAUGUGAGAGAAAAUAUUUCUGAGUCUUUUGAUCUCUGAAGAUAAACUUCCUUGAGGUGAACUGACUAACUAGUGCAGGAGGCACAUUAAUUACUUCUGGUCUGCACUAUAAUUUUCUUUUUUAAAUUACUUAAAUUGAAAAACCCUCUCCUUUAAAUAAACUGUAAGAAAUUAAUGCAAAUAAAUGUGACCUUUCUUGGAUUUUUUUCCGUUUAUUAACUGCUUCUUUUUUUUGUGAUAAGCUUAUCCAGUACCAUAAGUAAGAACUUGAUGUACAAAGAUGUACAAAGCCUACUCAACACUACUCAGAAACUUAUCAGAGUUUCAGAUCUGUGAUCUGUGUGUGUUAUUUUUUCUUACUCUUCAUGAUUCAGAAACUCAGUUAAGCAAGCAUUACUGGCUUUGUGUCACCAUGAGGCACAACCAAGUUUAAGCAGUCUUCAGAGAACUCAGGUUUUGAAUGGAAAAAAAUAGUUAAGAGGAAGAUAGAGGGACAAGAUCUACUUUCCACCCAAAGCAGCAUCACUAGAGAAGGGCUGAUAACUGUACAAUUGCAUGAACUUUGGCAACGACAGCCCAGCUCCACCACUACCUGGUGUGCAGUGCCAGGACCAUGGCUUUUUAGACCAAGCUGACAAUACUCCUUUCCAUUCAUUGUGUCUUACUCGGGCCUUCAACAGAAACAGAGUAGGUUUACUGUGAAUAUUGGGAAGAAACUCUUCACUGUGAGCAUGGUGAGAAACUUGAAUAAGUUGCCCAGAGAAGUUGUGAAUGCUCCAUCCCUGAAAACAUUUAAGGCCAGGCUGGAUGGGGAUUUGAGCAACCUGGACUAGUGGAAGGUGUCCCUGCUCAUGGUAGAGGGGUUGGAACCAGAUGGUCUUUAAGGUCCAUUCCAAUCCAAACCACUCUGUGAUUUUAUUGACCACAUGAUUCAGAUUCUAUAGCCAUGGGCAUUGCUUAAGUCAUGUUUAGUGUUAAUGCUGAGUAUUUCUUACACAGUGAAAAAUUCUCAAUACUUCAGUAAACAAAGAAUGGAAGAGUUUGGGGAAAACAGUGGCAGAGGGCCACCAAGAGCUGCUACAAAAAGAGCUGUUACAAAAUAUUUGACAUACGUUGGAUUUCACGUUUCGCUACUAUACAUGCUUACUAAAAGAAAGCAUUAAAGGCCAUUACACCCAGAAAAAUUACUGAGUUGUGAAUGCCUCUUGUGCCAUGCAUUUGAUAUCACUUGCUACCACAUGCUAUGCAUGUGAUGUCACUUGUAAUGCAGUAUAAUAAAAUAAAGGAAAUUAAAAUUUUAUUUAUUGAGCUGUGUGAUGGAAUGAUUACAUGAAAGAAUGCUUCAAAUACUUUUUAUCAUCUAGAGAAUCUGUUUUGUUUAAAGAGAAUAUUGCUGAUCUCUGAACUGUCAUUAAACAUGGAACAAGAGCCAUUGCCACAAUGACUCCAGAGACUAGAGAUGAAACAUAAAGGUGUCUUGCAAAACUGUAUUUCACUGUAAUGAAAGGAACUUCUUUUUCUUCUAGAUAAGAAAUGCAAAAAUUCAUUUGUGGUUAUUCCUUUUAAAUUCUGCCUUCAGAUUAUUCCAACAUAUACAACAAACAAAAUGGUCAAAUACUUUCUCACAAAUAACUCUCAGAGAUGCACAGUUAUGAAUAGAAAGGUUUCCCUCAGGAGUACUGCAAAUCAAAGCCAAUAUAUUUUAAGUUGGAAUCUGACCAGUUUACAAACAUACUGACUGCAAAUGCCUUCAACAGUACUAGAACUGGCAACUCAGAAUCUCCCUUCCUUCAUUUAAUAGCCUGAGGCAGAAGGGGUAAAUGUAAUAAAAUUGUUCUCUGCUUAUUGCAAUAUUGUUUCUUCCUGUAUGAAAGACUUCUUUCACUUAGUUUCACUUCUGGAAAACUGAAUUUACAGCUAAGAAUGGAAUUAAUUCUCCUAUUUCUUUUACUACCAAAGUGAUGCUCACAGUAAAUUGGGUUAAAUAAAGCAGCUUUUUUCUUCUGAUAGCUUCUGCAAAACAAGGUCUUGUCAAAACAAGCCAUCUCUAGCUUUCCUCUAUUCAGAGUCGAUGUGUCUCCUUCCCACGGCAGAACAAGCUCCUGUGGUAGGUGGGGCAUGACACCACAAGGCUGUUUACGUGACACAACACUUACAGGCUGCCAGCAACUGCUUUUCCCAGAUGUCAGGAACACUCCCCUGUUCAAAGCCCUGCUUUAGUGAAAUACGGCAUGGUAGGUACAGAGACCAAAUUGCAUUCACAUUCCUCUGAUAAUCCCAAAGCCAAAGCAAACCUCUCAAAUAAAUGUAUCUCAAGUAUGAAUGGCCCUUUUCCUGAAUCACUGUAAAGCAUAUGACCUCAAGAGGCAGCAUUUUCUUUGCCUGUAUAUACACAUGCCUGUGUAUACUGCCGUAAGUGACAGAGAAUAGGAUCCUUUAGUACUUGCAUUAUUUUACUGAGAAAAGGUAUAUCUUUCUGUGCUUACUUUAUGUUUUAUAUCAAUCUACCUCUAAGCAUUCGGAGAGAAUGGAAAGAUCAAGCAAGACAUGCUUGAUACUGCUCUUGCAAGCAGCUCACUGCUUGCUCUUGCUCUUGCUUUGCCAAUAGCCCAGACCUGGGAGUCCAAAACUACGAUUAAGCCUUUUCUCUUGACUGCAAUUCUGCACCAUCUUCCAGCAAUCCUUUCUGUAACCCAGAAGGCCUGUCCUUUACAUAUUUCAUAGAUCCUCCUCAGCUGAAUGCUGAAGUCUACAUAUUCAUCAGCUACUGCUUCAUUGCCAAGGGACCAGUGCCUGAGGAGGAAACUGAGCUCUAAACUAUUGGUAUCAAUUCAUUAUGUAAAUGAGGAAAAGACCACAAAGAUUAGAUACAAACUUCCCAAAUUUCAGAGAGCUUUUACCCUCCUCAGUUCAGUGUACUCUUUGGCAUGUCAUUUCACUCUAAAUGUGAUUCCUAUUUUCCUGUCAUGAUCCUUCAACAAACUUUCCCUGUCUUCACGAAAGAAGGGAACUUACAUCAUGGUAAUUAUGCAGACUUCUGCUUUCAUACAGCCACUUUCACUGUGUCCACUACCACAUUGUUUUAAGUUUCAUGUUAAGAACCCAUUAAGUAAAUCUGUCACCAUUUGACAGAUCUAAGUUCAUUUCUUUUCCUCAGAAAACAGAAGAAAAUGUUUCAAUUAAACAUUUUUAACUGGAGAGACCUAAGAAAGUUUUGCAUUUUUCAGAACAGAAGAAGGAAAUUUGAGGUAAUUUUGGCAUUACAGCACCAUAAGGAAUCAUCAGUAGCUUUGCUUGAAAUGUUUUUUGGGUUUUUUUGUCAAAGAUAUCCCUUAGCAUCUUUAUGUUUCAUACUUUCUAAAUCACAACUCAUAUUGAUUAAACAGCAGGGACAUGCCUGCACCUUUUUUUUUAGGGUCUGCAUCUGCACCACAGAGAUACAUCACGCUGCUGCAUGCUACAGAAUUCCCCAUGCCAGCCCUCUUUCCUCUCUGUGGCUCUGUGGCACACUUGCAAACUUAGACUUCUCAGUGCCAUUCUACUCCUCAGCAUCCAAUUCAGCCUCUAUGACAGGAAGUCCUUAAACUGUUAAAAUUAAAACCACCUGCCAGUUUGGACUAGGGCUGUCACACUCCAUGGCUAACCACUGAAACACACUUCAACAACUCAGUAUGAGUUGAGCAUGACUAUUUGUGGUCAGUGAGAGGGCUUCACCCUGAGAGCACCCUUGGCCAAAAAGACAUAAAAUAGGGGCAACAGAAGCAACAGCCUAAGCAGGUGUUUCUCUUUCCAUUAGCAGCAAAAUCUCAGAUAAUCAAAAUGUACAGUGAAAGACUGAUGAAAUAAGAGAGGAAAUUGAAUCUUUUUGUGUAAUAAUAGACAGAAACACAGGUUGAUAAUCACUAUGGGAGAUGAAAGAAUAUAUUUGAGAGUAAAGAAGGAACUCUCAACAGGGAUUGCUAAAUUCAGGAGACAUCUCUUUGUAUAAGAUACGAUGUUAAAAGAAAUCUACCCUUAAGACAGAACAAGUUCAGUUCACAAAGAAAUUGUGAGAAGAAUGGUAGCAGAGAAGGAACUUCAGGCAACCAUGACAUUCCUGGUAUUUCUGUUUUUCUAGCAGCAAACCUCAGCUGGAGGCUAAGGGUGAAUGGGAACAUUCACACUGUAUUACAAAUAAGCUAGGAAAUCUACAAGCUGACAGAGUUUAUGGACAGACAUACGGACAUAGUUAAAAGAAGCCAUAAUUACAGUUGUGUGAGUAAUACAUAGGCAGGCAAAUAAAAAUUAGAAGCUGCAAAUACGUUUAGCUCAGCUCUUAUGCAGGCAAACCAUAAAUCAAAAUUUCUCAGCUGUUAAAAGUAUACCUUAACUACUAGGAUAGGAUCUUUCUGUAGUGUGAUGCUUCAGAUUAAUAGUUUAAAAGCUUAAAUGAGAUGUGGCUCACUAGAUAUGAAUCCCCAUUCAAGAGAUUUUUGUAUAUCAAUUGUUAUUGAUAUAAAGUAAGAAUAAUCUUAAUGGGGAGUUUAAAACAGGCUGUGCC
Taeniopygia guttata (zebra finch) is the source of this 5299-nucleotide long non-coding RNA. NCBI's taxonomy places the organism in Eukaryota, Metazoa, Chordata, Aves, Passeriformes, Estrildidae. The record is from Ensembl.